GCGAAAAAAAAUCGGCCACGACCCGCACGCACGCACAGUGCCCUCGAGCGAGAACCUCUCUCACGCACAACUCGAUCCCUAGCUCGUCUCCCCUUCUCCGCCGCCGCCGCCCGCCCGCCCGCAUCCCACCCCUUUCCUUCGUGUCCUCCCCACCUCCUCCCCUACCACUGCUCCUCCGCUCCGGCCCGGACCAUCCUCAUGCUUCCGCGGCUGUAGUCGCCUGCUCUCCAGACCUUGGAGCACCGCGGACGUGCUACAACCAUGUUGGGACGAGGCGGAGUAUGUCGCGGCGGCGGCGACGAGCACCGCGAACGCGCUACCUCCUCCGCUUCGGCCCCUCCACACCAUCUGCCGCCUCCGCCGACCUUAGUGGGCAUGCCCUGGUCGAGCCCCCCCAAAGUCGGAUGACGGCGCUGAGGAGAUCGCGUAACCCCAGGGCAGGGCGUAGCGACCGGCGAGGAGCGCCUCAAGGGCGUGGCCCCCGAUUCGUGGGUCGACAGCGCGGAGGCAAUCGUGUGCGGACAGGAUAUGGCGGUGUUGCGGCAAGCGAGGAGCGCCACUGCCGUUCGCACAAGAUCCGCCGUCUCGUCUCUGCGAUUUGACCGCCGUCGGCGGUCUGCGAUCCACUGUUCACAUCCGAACUCGCCAGAGCCGCGGUGCCCCAUGAACCGCCCGCCUCAACCAUUUCGUUUCCGUUUGAUGGUAGUGACGACGACGGCCAAGAUGUGGUAGUUCUCUGCAUGCAGUGUGGUGGCAUGGUAGAGAGGGGAAGCAGAUGGAAAACUGGCAGCGGCUCUAUCUGCGGGUGGCAUGAUGGAGAGGCUAGGGAGCAACAAAUGUUGUAUUGGUCACUUUUUCUGUCAUCUCUGUUUGCACUAAUAUGUAACUUUCGCCUGAUCAGGGGAUACUGCAAAGAACACGAGCAAAACAUUGAUAGGAGGUGAUGAGGACUAUGACCGAAGGCAUGUAUAAUACCUACAAUGAACUGUCAAGGCAUGUCUAAUCUGAACUGAAAUAUAUGUAAGACACAGAAAGCAAGCAAACAGCCGUCAAGGCAACGAGCAUGCCAUGUGAUAUACGAAAGGCACAAGAAGCAAGUAAACAACUGUAAGGCAUGUUCGUGGAGGCCAUGUGGAGGGAUGGCUUGUGCAGCCGGGAGCGAAUUGAUGCGCGGGGAAAAGUUUCCUUUACCCAACUGGUGCAGCAAAAUCUCUAUGAUACGACCAGUUUCGUCUAUAGUCAGACCAACGACGACGACGUACAAGCUGCCAACCAGAAUCAAGCUUCUGCGACUUUGCUAGUCACUGUUGGGGAUGUAUUUGUACCAUCAUAUUUACGAUCGAGCUUUGGCAAUGAACUAGUUGCCAUUGCAUGUAUGCAUGCGCAUACGCCAAGAAAGAUUGGUCUUGUUCAGCUAGGAAAAGGAAAAGAAGUACAUCUGGAACCUCUACAUGCACGUGAUUUCCUUGGUAAUUUUGGUUGGCAUGAAGCCAAAAGAUUACGACUUCGGGACUCUAAUUUCCAUGGAGAAUUAAUGUAUGGAUGCAACGUACUAGGACAUCAAAUGGAAAGUGUUAAUGUGCUGGGAUUGGUCAUGAAAAUAAAGAGGAGAUAUUUGUUUCUUUUA
Molecule: non-coding RNA, 1627 nt
Organism: Triticum urartu
Lineage: Eukaryota; Viridiplantae; Streptophyta; Magnoliopsida; Poales; Poaceae
Source: RefSeq, a predicted model, not a curated record